This 73-nucleotide transfer RNA is filed under the name Candidatus Campbelliibacteriota bacterium. Its description in RNAcentral is "Candidatus Campbellbacteria bacterium tRNA-Lys". It matches the Rfam family "tRNA". Rfam says of the family: Transfer RNA (tRNA) molecules are approximately 80 nucleotides in length. Their secondary structure includes four short double-helical elements and three loops (D, anti-codon, and T loops). The record is from RNAcentral. Lineage: Bacteria; Candidatus Campbelliibacteriota. RNAcentral also lists the same sequence under 1 other name.
CCCCCUGUAGCUCAGUUGGUAGAGCAGCAGCCUUUUAAGCUGACGGUCGAAGGUUCGAGCCCUUCCGGGGGGA